RNAcentral lists this long non-coding RNA (251 nucleotides) under Bos taurus (domestic cattle). RNAcentral's name for it is "long non-coding RNA NONBTAT007008". Lineage: Eukaryota; Metazoa; Chordata; Mammalia; Artiodactyla; Bovidae. The record is from RNAcentral.
AUAAUGUUUUUAUCAUACCAGAAGUUUUUACACUCUAAGAAAAUGAACCACAGCAAAUAAAAGAUAUUCUUUGUUUCCAAAAUGAUUCUAUUUUUCCUCUGAUAUGCUGGGAUCUUUUAUAUGAGUCAAUUUGGGUAGAUGGUAUUUUGAAACUCUUUAUCCCGAUUUGGAGUCAACUAAUCACUUUUCUGUCUGAUUGAAUCUUGAAUUUAUUUUUCAAAUUCUUUUCAGUUGACUCUCUAUAUAUCUCU